This 465-nucleotide ribosomal RNA is filed under the name uncultured bacterium. RNAcentral describes it as "partial 16S ribosomal RNA". It matches the Rfam family "Bacterial small subunit ribosomal RNA", at positions 338 to 795 of the family's 1533-position model. The record is from RNAcentral.
CCUACGUGUGGCAGCAGUGGGGAAUAUUGCGCAAUGGGCGAAAGCCUGACGCAGCGACGCCGCGUGAGGGAUGAAGGUCUUCGGAUCGUAAACCUCUGUCAGCAGGGAAGAACGGUCACUGUGCUAAUCAGCAGUGAAUUGACGGUACCUGCAACGGAAGCACCGGCUAACUCCGUGCCAGCAGCCGCGGUAAUACGGAGGGUGCGAGCGUUAAUCGGAAUUACUGGGCGUACAGCGCUCGUAGGCGGUAUGUCAAGUCAAGGGUGAAAUCCCCGCGCUCAACGUGGGAACUGCCUUUGAAACUGGCAAACUGGAGUGUGUGAGAGGAUAGUGGAAUGCCAGGUGUAGGAGUGAAAUCCGUAGAUAUCUGGAGGAACAUCAGUGGCGAAGGCGACUAUCUGGCACAUAACUGACGCUGAGGAGCGAAAGCGUGGGUAGCAAACAGGAUUAGAUACCCUUGUAGUC